This 258-nucleotide ribosomal RNA is filed under the name uncultured bacterium. RNAcentral's name for it is "partial 16S ribosomal RNA". It matches the Rfam family "Bacterial small subunit ribosomal RNA", at positions 1234 to 1500 of the family's 1533-position model. The record is from RNAcentral.
ACGGUACAACGAGUCGCAAGCUCGCGAGAGUAAGCUAAUCUCUUAAAGCCGUUCUCAGUUCGGACUGUAGGCUGCAACUCGCCUACACGAAGUCGGAAUCGCUAGUAAUCGCGGAUCAGCAUGCCGCGGUGAAUACGUUCCCGGGCCUUGUACACACCGCCCGUCAAGCCAUGGGAGCCGGGGGUGCCUGAAGUUCGUGACCGCAAGGAGCGACCUAGGGCAAAACUGGUGACUGGGGCUAAGUCGUAACAAGGUACC